GACGAACGCUGGCGGCGUGCUUAACACAUGCAAGUCGAACGGAAAGGCCCUGCUUUUGUGGGGUGCUCGAGUGGCGAACGGGUGAGUAACACGUGAGUAACCUGCCCUUGACUUUGGGAUAACUUCAGGAAACUGGGGCUAAUACCGGAUAGGAGCUCCUGCUGCAUGGUGGGGGUUGGAAAGUUUCGGCGGUUGGGGAUGGACUCGCGGCUUAUCAGCUUGUUGGUGGGGUAGUGGCUUACCAAGGCUUUGACGGGUAGCCGGCCUGAGAGGGUGACCGGCCAGAUUGGGACUGAGAUACGGCCCAGACUCCGACGGGAGGCAGCAGUGGGGAAUAUUGCACAAUGGGCGGAAGCCUGAUGCAGCAACGCCGCGUGCGGGAUGACGGCCUUCGGGUUGUAAACCGCUUUCGCCUGUGACGAAGCGUGAGUGACGGUAAUGGGUAAAGAAGCACCGGCUAACUACGUG
Molecule: ribosomal RNA, 468 nt
Filed under: uncultured bacterium
Lineage: Bacteria
Description: partial 16S ribosomal RNA
Rfam family: Bacterial small subunit ribosomal RNA
Source: RNAcentral